UAGGGAAUCUUCCGCAAUGGGCGAAAGCCUGACGGAGCAACGCCGCGUGAGUGAAGAAGGUCUUCGGAUCGUAAAACUCUGUUAUUAGGGAAGAACAAAUGUGUAAGUAACUAUGCACGUCUUGACGGUACCUAAUCAGAAAGCCACGGCUAACUACGUGCCAGCAGCCGCGGUAAUACGUAGGUGGCAAGCGUUAUCCGGAAUUAUUGGGCGUAAAGCGCGCGUAGGCGGUUUUUUAAGUCUGAUGUGAAAGCCCACGGCUCAACCGUGGAGGGUCAUUGGAAACUGGAAAACUUGAGUGCAGAAGAGGAAAGUGGAAUUCCAUGUGUAGCGGUGAAAUGCGCAGGGAUAUGGAGGAACACCAGUGGCGAAGGCGACUUUCUGGUCUGUAACUGACGCUGAUGUGCGAAAGCGUGGGGAUCAAACAGG
This 429-nucleotide ribosomal RNA is filed under the name Actinomycetes bacterium. RNAcentral describes it as "Actinobacteria bacterium partial 16S ribosomal RNA". It matches the Rfam family "Bacterial small subunit ribosomal RNA", at positions 355 to 776 of the family's 1533-position model. Lineage: Bacteria; Bacillati; Actinomycetota; Actinomycetes. The record is from RNAcentral.